UGCACAGCCCAGCUCUGACCAGGAGGAAACAUCAAGAAAAUCCUGCAAAAUACCUGGUGUGCCCACUACGAAAUAUCUCACACUCCUGGACCAAAACUCAAUGGCUUCAGAGGGCAGGCCACGGAUCAGGAUGGCCAGAGGAUCAAACACUGCCACAACCUGUCUGUCUCUCCAUUUGCUCAUGUCUGAAAUUUCAAAGACAGCGCCGCUCCUGCAAUAAUGAAGCAUUAUGUUUGGCAGAUGAACAACUUCUGAUGCACCCUUGUUUGGAGAGAUGCUCCCUUGAAGAAAUGAUAUCUGGCUCUAAAAUCUCAGGUGGACAGCAAGGAAGAUGCAUGAAAAUAGAAGAUAUCUAUGUAACGUUCAAAAACCGCAACAUGCCAUUUGCCUACGGCGACUUAUGGAAACGUUUACAAAAACAUUUUGAUGGGAAUGCGUACACUGAGUAUGCCAGUCAUAAAGGUGCUUUUCUUUUUAUUUAAUUUUAUGUUCUGUUAUGUUCUUAAUCAUGAGGCUAGAUUGCCAAUGUUUGUUUCCUUAGCUUCAAAUCAGAAUUUAUAAUAUCCUGGAUGAUAUAUAAUUGUACUGUUCAUCCUAGCUUUGUUUUAUGUUUAACUCAAUCACUUUCAAAAUAAAGAACUGAAUAAAUA
RNAcentral lists this long non-coding RNA (650 nucleotides) under Homo sapiens (human). Its description in RNAcentral is "HSALNT0380326". Lineage: Eukaryota; Metazoa; Chordata; Mammalia; Primates; Hominidae. The record is from RNAcentral.